UCCUCCUGUGUGCGGCGCCGCCGCUGUGCACAGGCCACAUCUCCUCGCCCUCCUCGACAUCUCCGGCCAAGGCGCUCACUUCUCCGGCCCUCCUCCACAUCUCCUCGCCUCCACCCCAUCCACUUCCUGUCGAAGACUGCGGCAACGGAGCUCGGCGGCUGCGGCCCUUCUCCAAGACUGCAGCAUGGUGCUUGGCGGCUGCGGCAACGGAGCUGAUGGAGCGCGAGCCGACCAGUUCAACGGAGGCAGUAGCACGGGGCAGCGGCAGCAGCAUGGAGGGCGUCCGCUUGACUGGAAAGAGAAUGUAUUUGUUGAUAGUGAGAGUGAGGAUAAUGAUGGGGUGAGUGAGGAUGGGGAAGAUGCUCCAUCCAUGCAUGAUCAGCAAGAGGCGCAAAUGCAAGUGGAAAAAGAGACACAAAUUCAAAUGGAAAAGGACGCACCUCCAAGAGAUGGCAAUUUGGAGACCCGUAGAUCUGUACGGCUUGUCAAGAAGAAGACCAAGGGCGUCAACAGCCUAUACCCUGUUGCUUAGAAAUCUGUUGGCAAGUCUCUUCUUUCUAGUGUUUUAUGAUUCAUGAUAAUUGCUUAGAAAAUUUUAGUUACUUGGAGCUGCUAGUUUCUUAGAUGUAUACACUUUCUAUCCA
This 644-nucleotide ribosomal RNA is filed under the name Triticum aestivum (bread wheat). RNAcentral describes it as "partial small subunit ribosomal RNA". The record is from RNAcentral. Lineage: Eukaryota; Viridiplantae; Streptophyta; Magnoliopsida; Poales; Poaceae.